This 32-nucleotide non-coding RNA is filed under the name Rattus norvegicus (Norway rat). The record is from RNAcentral. Lineage: Eukaryota; Metazoa; Chordata; Mammalia; Rodentia; Muridae.
UCCCUACUUACCAACAGGCUCAUUUGCCGUGU